CUGUGCUGGAGUUUACUGUGUGAGUCCAGGAUAGGGAAAGCAAAUGCCAUACUUUUGGAGUGUUCGGUAACUUCAUAUUUUAGAACAGGAUGGUGCUCAUUUGCCUAGAAAGCAGUUUUUUUCAGAAAAGGACUUGGAAUUUCUCAUGGAUCAUAAAUGGAACAGGAGCUAGCAAUGUGCCCUCAC
Long non-coding RNA from Tympanuchus pallidicinctus (lesser prairie-chicken), 186 nucleotides. RefSeq lists it as uncharacterized. The transcript is spliced from 2 exons. Lineage: Eukaryota; Metazoa; Chordata; Aves; Galliformes; Phasianidae. The record is from RefSeq and is a predicted model, not a curated record.